GACGUAGGAUGCAAGCGUUGUCCGGAUUCAUUGGGCGUAAAGAGUUCGUAGGCGGCAUAUCAAGUCUGGUGUUAAAUCUCGGAGCUUAACUCCGUACCGGCACUGGAUACUGAUAAGCUAGAGUACAGUAGAGGCAAGGGGAAUUCCCAGUGUAGCGGUGAAAUGCGUAGAUAUUGGGAGGAACACCGGUGGCGUAAGCGCCUUGCUGGGCUGUUACUGACGCUGAGGAACGAAAGCCGGGGGAG
RNAcentral lists this ribosomal RNA (245 nucleotides) under uncultured bacterium. RNAcentral describes it as "partial 16S ribosomal RNA". It matches the Rfam family "Bacterial small subunit ribosomal RNA", at positions 524 to 768 of the family's 1533-position model. The record is from RNAcentral.